Molecule: non-coding RNA, 30 nt
Filed under: Rattus norvegicus (Norway rat)
Lineage: Eukaryota; Metazoa; Chordata; Mammalia; Rodentia; Muridae
Source: RNAcentral
UGUUAUAAUAACCCUUUGAUCUGAUGCGAG